RNAcentral lists this ribosomal RNA (243 nucleotides) under uncultured bacterium. RNAcentral describes it as "partial small subunit ribosomal RNA". It matches the Rfam family "Bacterial small subunit ribosomal RNA", at positions 26 to 285 of the family's 1533-position model. The record is from RNAcentral.
AGAAUCAACGCUGGCGGCGUGCCUAACACAUGCAAGUCGCACGAGAAAGGGUAGCAAUACCUGAGUACAGUGGCGCACGGGUGAGUAACACGUGAAUAAUCUACCUCCGAGUGGGGAAUAACUGAGAGAAAUCUUAGCUAAUACCGCAUAACACUUACGAGUCAAAGCAGCAAUGCGCUUGGAGAGGAGUUCGCGGCCGAUUAGUUAGUUGGCGGGUAAUGGCCCACAAGACGAUGAUCGGUA